GGCGGACGGGUGAGUAAUGCGUAGGAAUUUACCUCAAAGCGGGGGAUAGCCCGGAGAAAUCCGGAUUAAUACCGCAUGUGCUCUACGGAGUAAAGUGGGCCUCUUCUUGAAAGCUCGCACUUUGAGAUAAGCCUACGUCGGAUUAGCUUGUUGGUAGGGUAAAAGCCUACCAAGGCGACGAUCCGUAGCUGGUUUGAGAGGAUGAUCAGCCACACUGGGACUGAGACACGGCCCAG
Molecule: ribosomal RNA, 236 nt
Filed under: uncultured bacterium
Lineage: Bacteria
Description: partial 16S ribosomal RNA
Rfam family: Bacterial small subunit ribosomal RNA
Source: RNAcentral